CCUACGGGAGGCAGCAGUGAGGAAUAUUGGUCAAUGGGCGCGAGCCUGAACCAGCCAAGUCGCGUGAGGGAGGACGGCCCUACGGGUUGUAAACCUCUUUUGCCGGGGAGCAACGGGCGCCACGUGUGGCGUCACUGAGAGUACCCGGAGAAAAAGCAUCGGCUAACUCCGUGCCAGCAGCCGCGGUAAUACGGAGGAUGCGAGCGUUAUCCGGUUUUAUUGGGGUAAAAGGGUGCGUAGGCGGAUCGUUAAGUCCGAGGUCAAAUGUGGGGGCUCAACCCCUUCCCGCCAUUGAAUCUGGCGUUCUUGAGUGGAAGAGAAGUAUGCGGAAUGCGUGGUGUAGCGGUGAAAUGCAUAGAUAUCACGCAGAACCCCGAUUGCGAAGGCAGCAUGCCGGCUUCCGACUGACGCUGAAGCACGAAAGCGUGGGGAUCGAACAGGAUUAGAUACCCCAGUAGUC
This 460-nucleotide ribosomal RNA is filed under the name uncultured bacterium. RNAcentral describes it as "partial 16S ribosomal RNA". It matches the Rfam family "Bacterial small subunit ribosomal RNA", at positions 338 to 795 of the family's 1533-position model. The record is from RNAcentral.